RNAcentral lists this ribosomal RNA (467 nucleotides) under uncultured bacterium. RNAcentral describes it as "partial 16S ribosomal RNA". It matches the Rfam family "Bacterial small subunit ribosomal RNA", at positions 28 to 507 of the family's 1533-position model. The record is from RNAcentral.
GAUGAACGCUGGCGGCGUGCUUAACACAUGCAAGUCGAACGGAAAGGCCCAAGCUUGCUUGGGUACUCGAGUGGCGAACGGGUGAGUAACACGUGGGUGAUCUGCCCCGCACUUCGGGAUAAGCCUGGGUAACUGGGUUUAAUACCGGAUAGUACAGUGGCUUGGAUGCCAUUGUGGACAGUCUUUUCGGUGUGGGAUGAGCUCGCGGCCUAUCAGCUUGUUGGUGGGGUAAUGGCCUACCAAGGCGUCGACGGGUAGCCGGCCUGAGAGGGUGUACGGCCACAUUGGGACUGAGAUACGGCCCAGACUCCGACGGGAGGCAGCAGUGGGGAAUAUUGCACAAUGGGCGCAAGCCUGAUGCAGCGACGCCGCGUGGGGGAUGACGGCCUUCGGGUUGUAAACUCCUUUCGCUAGGGACGAAGCGUUAUGUGACGGUACCUAGAGAAGAAGCACCGGCUAACUACGUG